This 1083-nucleotide ribosomal RNA is filed under the name Triticum aestivum (bread wheat). Its description in RNAcentral is "partial small subunit ribosomal RNA". The record is from RNAcentral. Lineage: Eukaryota; Viridiplantae; Streptophyta; Magnoliopsida; Poales; Poaceae.
AUGGCCCUGCUUCCUUCGGGCUCAGGCAGCACGCCGGUGAUCGCCGAGGUGGAGAUGAACGGCGGCGCCGACCAGAGCGCCACCACCGUACGAGCCACCGUCGUGCAGGCAUCCACAGUCUUCUACGACACCCCCGCCACUCUCGAUAAAGCAGAGAGACUGAUAGCAGAGGCUGCUGGAUAUGGUUCACAGUUGGUCGUGUUCCCAGAAGCUUUUGUUGGUGGUUAUCCUCGUGGAUCCACCUUUGGCUUUGGGAUCAAUAUUAGUAUGACUAAUCCAAAAGACAAGGGAAAGGGUGAAUUCCAGAAGUAUCAUGCAGCUGCCAUAGAUGUGCCUGGUCCAGAGGUGACAUGCUUAGCUGCUAUGGCUGGGAAAUAUAAGGUCUUUCUGGUAAUGGGGGUGAUUGAGCGAGAAGGUCACACACUGUAUUGUUCAGUGCUCUUCUUUGAUCCUCUAGGUCGGUACCUGGGUAAGCACCGCAAGCUGAUGCCGACGGCAUUAGAAAGGAUAAUAUGGGGAUUUGGAGAUGGAUCAACAAUUCCUGUUUAUGAUACUCCACUUGGAAAGAUCGGAGCCCUUAUUUGCUGGGAAAAUAAGAUGCCACUUUUAAGGACAGCACUGUAUGGUAAAGGUAUUGAGAUAUACUGCGCUCCCACGGCUGAUUCAAGGCCAGUGUGGCAAGCUUCCAUGACACAUAUCGCCCUGGAGGGGGGAUGCUUUGUGUUGUCGGCAAACCAGUUCUGCCGCAGAAAGGACUACCCUCCGCCGUCCGAGUACGCAUUUGCCGGUUUACGAGAAGAGCCUUCUCCCGACACCGUUGUCUGCCCUGGAGGCAGCGUUAUCAUUUCGCCGUCACGAGAAGUCCUGGCAGGUCCCAACUACGAUGGAGAGGCGCUCAUCACAGCCGACCUUGACAUGGGAGAGAUCGUUCGGGCCAAGUUUGCUUUUGACGUGGUGGGCCACUACGCUCGGCCUGAGGUGCUGAGCUUGGUAGUGGAUGACCAACCGCACCGGCCGGUGUCAUUCACCUGUGCUGCUGAGAAGACUCCGGCUGCCAAGAGCGACGGCACCGCAAAGCCCUGA